ACUCAAAUGAAUUGACGGGGGCCCGCACAAGCGGUGGAGCAUGUGGUUUAAUUCGACGCAACGCGAAGAACCUUACCAGGCCUUGACAUCUAUAUGUAAGACCAAGAGAUUGGUCCCCUCUUCGGAGCGUAUAGACAGGUGGUGCAUGGUUGUCGUCAGCUCGUGUCGUGAGAUGUUGGGUUAAGUCCCGCAACGAGCGCAACCCUUGUUGUUAGUUGCCAGCACGAAAGGUGGGCACUCUAAUGAGACUGCCGGUGACAAACCGGAGGAAGGUGGGGACGACGUCAAAUCAUCAUGCCCUUUAUGGCCUGGGCUACACACGUGCUACAAUGGCCUGUACAGAGGGAAGCGAAGGAGUGAUCUGAAGCAAAUCCCAAAAAGCAGGUCCCAGUUCGGAUUGCAGGCUGCAACUCGCCUGUAUGAAGUAGGAAUCGCUAGUAAUCGCAGAUCAGAAUGCUGCGGUGAAUACGUUCCCGGGCCUUGUACACACCGCCCGU
Molecule: ribosomal RNA, 497 nt
Filed under: uncultured bacterium
Lineage: Bacteria
Description: bacterial SSU rRNA
Rfam family: Bacterial small subunit ribosomal RNA
Source: RNAcentral